RNAcentral lists this ribosomal RNA (441 nucleotides) under uncultured cyanobacterium. RNAcentral describes it as "bacterial SSU rRNA". It matches the Rfam family "Bacterial small subunit ribosomal RNA", at positions 9 to 492 of the family's 1533-position model. Lineage: Bacteria; Bacillati; Cyanobacteriota. The record is from RNAcentral.
GAGUUUGAUCCUGGCUCAGGAUGAACGCUGGCGGUCUGCUUAACACAUGCAAGUCGAACGGAAGUAGCAAUACUUUAGUGGCGGACGGGUGAGUAACGCGUGAGAAUCUACCUUCAGGACGGAGACAACAGUUGGAAACGACUGCUAACCCCCGAUGUACCGCAAGGGCAAAUAUUUAUAGCCUGAAGAAGAGCUCGCGUCCGAUUAGCUAGUUGGGGGGGUAAAAGCCCACCAAGGCGACGAUCGGUAGCUGGUCUGAGAGGACGAUCAGCCACACUGGGACUGAGACACGGCCCAGACUCCUACGGGAGGCAGCAGUGGGGAAUUUUCCGCAAUGGGCGCAAGCCUGACGGAGCAAGACCGCGUGGGGGAGGAAGGCUCUUGGGUUGUAAACCCCUUUUCUCUGGGAAGAACAAAAUGACGGUACCAGAGGAAUCAGCA